RNAcentral lists this ribosomal RNA (700 nucleotides) under Salimicrobium sp. CM1. Its description in RNAcentral is "bacterial SSU rRNA". It matches the Rfam family "Bacterial small subunit ribosomal RNA", at positions 102 to 784 of the family's 1533-position model. Lineage: Bacteria; Bacillati; Bacillota; Bacilli; Caryophanales; Bacillaceae. The record is from RNAcentral.
ACGGGUGAGUAACACGUGGGCAACCUACCUGUAAGACCGGAAUAACCCCGGGAAACCGGGGCUAAUGCCGGGUAACCGUUCGGUUCACCUGAACCGAACGUAAAAGGAUGGCUUCUCAGCUAUCGCUUACAGAUGGGCCCGCGGCGCAUUAGCUAGUUGGUAAGGUAACGGCUUACCAAGGCGACGAUGCGUAGCCGACCUGAGAGGGUGAUCGGCCACACUGGGACUGAGACACGGCCCAGACUCCUACGGGAGGCAGCAGUAGGGAAUCUUCCGCAAUGGACGAAAGUCUGACGGAGCAACGCCGCGUGAACGAUGAAGGCCUUCGGGUCGUAAAGUUCUGUUGUGAGGGAAGAACAAGGAUCGUGCGAACAGAACGGUCCCUUGACGGUACCUCACGAGGAAGCCCCGGCUAACUACGUGCCAGCAGCCGCGGUAAUACGUAGGGGGCAAGCGUUGUCCGGAAUUAUUGGGCGUAAAGGGCACGCAGGCGGUUCCUUAAGUCUGAUGUGAAAGCCCGUGGCUCAACCACGGAGGGCCAUUGGAAACUGGGGAACUUGAGAACUGAAGAGGAGAGUGGAAUUCCACGUGUAGCGGUGAAAUGCGUAGAUAUGUGGAGGAACACCAGUGGCGAAGGCGACUCUCUGGUCGGUUUCUGACGCUGAGGUGCGAAAGCGUGGGUAGCAAACAGGAUUAGAUA